ACCAGGCAUGGUGGUGUGGGCCUGUGGUCCCAGAUACUCGGGGGGGCUGCGGUAGGAGGAUCACUUGAGCCUGGGAGUGUAGCUCAGGUGUUGGAGGCCAGCCCAGGCGAUACAGCAAGACCCUACAU
RNAcentral lists this small RNA (128 nucleotides) under Marmota monax (woodchuck). Lineage: Eukaryota; Metazoa; Chordata; Mammalia; Rodentia; Sciuridae. The record is from RNAcentral.